ACGGAGGGUGCAAGCGUUAAUCGGAAUUACUGGGCGUAAAGCGCGCGUAGGUGGUUUGUUAAGUCGAGAUGUGAAGCCCAGGGCUCAACCUUGGAACUGCAUCUGAUACUGGCAGGCUAGAGUAUGGUAGAGGGAGGUAGAAUUCCACGUGUAGCGGUGAAAUGCGUAGAGAUGUGGAGGAAUACCAGUGGCGAAGGCGGCCUCCUGGACCAAUACUGACACUGAGGUGCGAAAGCGUGGGGAGCAAACAGGAUUAGAUACCCCGGUAGUCC
RNAcentral lists this ribosomal RNA (272 nucleotides) under uncultured bacterium. RNAcentral describes it as "partial 16S ribosomal RNA". It matches the Rfam family "Bacterial small subunit ribosomal RNA", at positions 525 to 796 of the family's 1533-position model. The record is from RNAcentral.